AAUAAGCGAAAAUAUUUAUAUUUCUCGUUUUUAAGUAUAAAAAGAAAUUAUUAGGUAAAAAAUAGCUAUAUGUUAAAGUAUAUAACAAGAUAAUGAGAACUUGGGUAAAUCUAAAAUUAAACAAAGUUAAUUGAAGUAUCUUAUUAGCUUUAGGAAUAUAAAUCAAAUGAGAUUUUAUGCUUUAUUAGACCAAGCAUAAAAAAGCCUUUAAAGUAAAACGGUUAUUGUCUGUUUGAAAAUUUAAAUCAACUAUAUAAAUGUGAUUAUUAGGGAAACCUUUCUCUAAGGCUAAAUAUAACAUAUAAGCGAUAGUGAAAUAGUACCGUGAGGGAAUUUUUAUAAUUAGUGAUUUUAUAAGCAGCUCAAGUAUUUAAUGACAUAUAAUAAGAGCGUACCUUUUGCAUAAUGGGUCAGCAAGUUAACAUAAUGUGCAAGAUAGAAACAUUAUUGUUAUUCUAUAAAAAGUAAUGCAGAAUAAUAAUGAGUUUUUGUCCUAGACAAACCAAUUAUUAAAUAAUGAAUUAGUAUUUUAUGUUAGACCCGAAGCCUAGUGAUCUUACUAUGAUCAGGAUUAUAAAAGUUCGAAUGGUUUACCGUUGUAAAGGUAUCCAAUGAAUUGUGGUAAGUAAGUGAAAGACAAAACUGACUAGGAUAGCUGGUUUUCUGCGAAACCUAUUUAAGUAGGCGAUUUGAAUAACAUUACAGCAGGUAUAGAAUUGUGAUCUCAGGCAAGUUUAUAUUAUUUUCUAGCUAUUAGCUAAAAAGUAUAUUACAAUGCAUACAUUGGGGGAUCGUGAAGAUUUUAUCAGUGAGGAUUUGCUCUCAGAAGGGCAGUAAUGAUUUUUAAGUUAUCAGACAUAGUACGAUAAGGUUGUAUGUCUAAAGGGAAACAGCCCAGAACAAGUGUUAAAAGUUCCAAAAUCGUUAUUAAGUGAAAUUGAGGGAGUAUUAUUCACAUACAAUCAGAAAAUAGGCUUAGAAGCAGCCACUUUUUAAAGAUCUCGUAACAGAACACUGAUUUAAUAUUUGGCGUAGAUUUAUUCUCCCAAAUAGUUGAAGGCACCGAUGAUAUAACGGAUCUAAAUAACGUACUAAAACCUUGUCUAUAUUUAAUGUUUAAGCGGCAAUUACAAUAAGUAAAUAGCUUUUAUAAAUAUUAAGUAAAGGGUAGCAGAACAUUGGGUAUAUAUAAGAUUUAAUCUUUUAAAGAUUAAAAAAAUAAUAAUGUAAUUUUAUGCAUAUAUUAUUAAUAUUGCAUUAUAUGUAAUAUUCAAAAAACUAUAAAUAAUAUAUGUAUUAAUUUCAUCUUAAAUAAGAUUAUGCAUGAUAUAAAAGUAACGUAUUUUAUUAAUUAUUAAUCUCAAGUGAGAAUGCUGACAUGAGUAACGAUAAAGGGUGGAAAAAUGCCCUCGCCUUAAGCUUAUGGUAUUCAUUAAAACGGUCUCUAAGUUAUUGUCCUAAAGGAAUUAACGAUGAGAAUGUAAGAAUUAAUUUCUUAUAUUAAACUUGAUACUAAACUCCUAAUGUAUUAAGUUCAGGAAAAUUAAAUUAAUAUACCGUACCUAGAAACUAACACAAGUAAGCAAGUAGAGUAUACAAAGGCGUUAGAGAUAACAAUCAUUAAGGAACUCGGCAAAAUGACUCCGUAACUUAGGGAUAAGGUGUACCGUUUGCAUGUUGAUACUUUAACGCCCAAGUUAUAGUGCCUUUAGGUACUAUAAUUAAGGUGUUUGCUGUAUAAGUAAUAAUUUUAUUCUGUACAGAACGCAACAUGUAAAUAGGAAGCAUAGAAUGGUGUUGUACGACUGUUUAAUUAAAACAAAGCACUUUGCAUAAGAUGUAAAAUCAAAGUAUUGAGUGUGAUGUCUGCCCGAUGUUGGCUGGUUAACGGAUUUCUUUUGUAAGAUAAGUAUAUUAUUGAGCUAGAGUUUGAAGGAAACCCCAAUCAAUGGCGGCCUUACCGAUGAGGGUCCUAAGGUAGCGGAAUACCCUGGCCGUUAAAUGCGGUCUUGCAUGAAUGAUGUAACGAUACAACAGCUGUCUCAAUGAUUGACUCGGUGAAAUUGGAAUAGCUGUGCAGAUACAGUUUACCUCUAGUUAGACGAGAAGACCCUAUGCAGCUUUACUGUUUUUAGCUAUUGUGUAUAACGAAAUAAAUUGUAGUGUAUAAGGUAAUUGAUGAAAUAAAGUUGAAACACCUUUAUUUAAUUUGUUAUACAAAUUAAUAAUUAAGACAUUAUUAAAAAAAUUAAUAUUUACAUUUGCUAUUAGACAGUUUAUGCGGGGCACAGAUCCCAUAAAAAGUACCUGGGUGUAUCCAAAAUUUAGUAAAUUUAACAGUUAUAUUCGUGAUAAUUGGUUAAUAACCUUUAUCAAGAAGAUAAUAUGUUUGUAUUAUUUUAUAUAAGACUUUAAGUCAUAGAUAAAAUCUAUAUAUCCAAUUAUACAUCUAUUAGGUUAGAUUAUUAUAUUUUAUUAGGUAAGAUUUUAACUAUAUGGAAAAUAGAUUUGAAUGUUUAAUUACUAUUUAGUUACCAUAGUAUCUAAAUAUACCUUACAAUAUUAAUUUACUUUAUAAAUUUUUAUUGUUUGCUAUAAGAAAAACAGAGUUAUUUUGUUAUUUAGUUUAUAAAUAUUAUAAGUAUGUAACAAGGUAAUAUUUAUAAACACUUUAAAAGUUUAACGGCUUAAUCUUGCUUUACUGUUUGACUUACAUGUCUAUCAGUUGCGUAAGCAGGGCAUAAGAUCACAAGAUGCAUAAAGGAAAGGUCUUGGAUUAAUGAAAAAGUUACGCUAGGGAUAACAGGCUAAUUGCGCCAGAGAGUACAAAUUGAGUGCGCAGUUUGGCACCUCGAUGUCGGCUUAGCUCAUCCACAUGAAUGCAGGAGUCAUGAAGGGUUUGACUGUUCGUCAAUUAAAGAGCUACACGAGCUGGGUUAA
RNAcentral lists this ribosomal RNA (2940 nucleotides) under Peltaster fructicola. Its description in RNAcentral is "bacterial LSU rRNA". It matches the Rfam family "Bacterial large subunit ribosomal RNA", at positions 1 to 2613 of the family's 2925-position model. Lineage: Eukaryota; Fungi; Ascomycota; Dothideomycetes. The record is from RNAcentral.